RNAcentral lists this ribosomal RNA (2311 nucleotides) under Entophilus mirabiledictu. RNAcentral describes it as "bacterial SSU rRNA". It matches the Rfam family "Eukaryotic small subunit ribosomal RNA". The record is from RNAcentral. Lineage: Eukaryota; Metazoa; Arthropoda; Malacostraca; Isopoda; Entophilidae.
UACCUGUGGUAAUUCUAGAGCUAAUACAUGCAACUGAGCUCCGACCUGGCGAUGAGUGUUCUUGUCGCUGGGAAAGGGCGCUUUUAUUAGACCACAAAACCGAUUCGGACUCCGGUCCGUCUCACUGAGAAAACAAAACUCUCGUGGUGAUUCUGAAUAACUGAGCCGAGCGCUUAGGUCUUCGCACCGGCGCCGUAUCCUUCGAGUGUCUGCCUUAUCAGCUCUCGAUUGUAAGUUAUACGCUUACAAUGGCUGUAACGGGUAACGGGGAAUCAGGGUUCGAUUCCGGAGAGGGAGCCUGAGAAACGGCUACCACAUCUAAGGAAGGCAGCAGGCACGCAAAUUACCCACUCCCGGUACGGGGAGGUAGUGACGAAAAAUAACGAUGCGGGACUCUUCCGAGGCCUCGCAAUCGGAAUGAGUCCACUUUAAAUCCUUGAACGAGGAUCGAUUGGAGGGCAAGUCUGGUGCCAGCAGCCGCGGUAAUUCCAGCUCCAAUAGCGUAUAUUAAAGUUGCUGCGGUUAAAAAGCUCGUAGUUGGAUUUCACUAUUCGGACCGGCGGCCCAUCCAAGGGAUCUCGCAGAUUUCCUCGGGUUCGGAAGUCGAGAUUACAGCAAGCGCGGCUCCGUAGUUUCUCGUUUCGGGCGGAACUGCUUCCGGAGAGUGUAUUGCUUGGGUUUUCGGAUUCACGGGUUUUAUUCGGCCGCCUUAGUUCGCGUGAUGCGUUAAUUCGCGAUCGCGUUCUAGGGUCUUGGAGUGCCGUUUAAUUCUCGCCGGCCCGCUAAAGCGUCCUCUCCGAGCUUCCUUUAGGUCCUGUUGCGAGAGGCGUUGAUGGUGAUUUCGCGUCUUGUUCUCGGCGCUACUCCGGCUCGGGGCGAGAAAGAAGCGAACCCGGUGGUUUACCGGCCGGUUCCGGGUUGAAAAAAGCCGUCGGCUCACGCGAGGUGCUCUUUACCGAGUGUCUAGCGCGCGGCCGACACGUUCACUUUGAAAAAAUUAGAGUGCUCAGAGCGGGCCGUUAAAAGCUUUUAAAGCCCGAAUGGUGGUGCAUGGAAUGAAGGAACAGGACCUCGGUUCUGCCCUUAUUUUACUGAUCGGUUUUUCGGAACCCGAGGUAAUGAUUAACGGGAACUGACGGGGGCAUUGGUAUUGCGACGCUAGAGGUGAAAUUCUUGGACCGUCGCAAGACUAACUACUGCGAAAGCAUUUGCCAAGAAUGUUUUCAUUAAUCAAGAACGAAAGUUAGAUGAUCGAAGGCGAUCAGAUACCGCCCUAGUUCUAACCGUAAACUAUGCUAACUGGCGAUCCGCCGGAGUCAUUCCCACGACUCGGCGGGCAGCCCUCCGGGAAACCAAAGUCUUUGAGUUCCGGGGGGAGUAUGGUUGCAAAGCUGAAACUUAAAGGAAUUGACGGAAGGGCACCACCAGGAGUGGAGCCUGCGGCUUAAUUUGACUCAACACGGGAAACCUCACCAGGCCCGGACACCGGAAGGAUUGACAGAUUAAGAGCUCUUUCUCGAUUCGGUGGGUGGUGGUGCAUGGCCGUUCUUAGUUGGUGGAGCGAUUUGUCUGGUUGAUUCCGAUAACGAACGAGACUCUACCCUACUAAAUAGUCGUCGGAUAGACUCCCGAGAAGGGUCCCGGCAACUGCGAGGCAUUAAGGGCGGUGCGUGGAUGCAUUUCGCGUUUCGGUGGAGUUCGGCGUAACUGCAAGCGAGGUAUGCGUUUCUGCGUGUACGUUAGUUUGCGGGUGCGUUAGUUUCUUUACCGGGCCGGAGUGUGUGUGCGUUAUCGUCCGCUUCGUGGAAGUCGGUCGGCCCUAACAAAGGGGCGUCCGUCGCAACAUCUUCUUAGAGGUAUCGGCGGUCUCCAGCCGCACGAGAAAGAGCAAUAACAGGUCUGUGAUGCCCUUAGAUGUUCUGGGCCGCACGCGCGCUACAAUGAAGGGAUCAGCGUGCUUUCCUCCUCCGAAAAGAGCAGGUAACCCUCUGAAACCCCUUCCCGAUUGGGAUUGGGGCUUGCAAAUGUUUCCCAUGAACGAGGAAUUCCUAGUAAGCGCGAGUCAUUAGCUCGCGCUGAUUACGUCCCUGCCCUUUGUACACACCGCCCGUCGCUACUACCGAUUGAAUGAUUCAGUGAGGGCAUCGGACUGGCACUCUCGGUAUCGCUUUUCGGUUCUGCAUUCCAAACUCUGCCGCGCGUUCGCGUACUUUUACAGUCGCGGCGCCGCGUGGUAGGGGCGAGCUGGAGAGGCGCCUUUGAGUUGACGGAAAGAUGUCCGAACUUGGUCAUUUAGAGGAAGUAAAAGUCG